RNAcentral lists this ribosomal RNA (338 nucleotides) under Escherichia coli. Its description in RNAcentral is "bacterial SSU rRNA". It matches the Rfam family "Bacterial small subunit ribosomal RNA", at positions 108 to 449 of the family's 1533-position model. The record is from RNAcentral. Lineage: Bacteria; Pseudomonadati; Pseudomonadota; Gammaproteobacteria; Enterobacterales; Enterobacteriaceae.
GAGUAAUGUCUGGGAAACUGCCUGAUGGAGGGGGAUAACUACUGGAAACGGUAGCUAAUACCGCAUAAUGUCGCAAGACCAAAGAGGGGGACCUUCGGGCCUCUUGCCAUCGGAUGUGCCCAGAUGGGAUUAGCUAGUAGGUGGGGUAACGGCUCACCUAGGCGACGAUCCCUAGCUGGUCUGAGAGGAUGACCAGCCACACUGGAACUGAGACACGGUCCAGACUCCUACGGGAGGCAGCAGUGGGGAAUAUUGCACAAUGGGCGCAAGCCUGAUGCAGCCAUGCCGCGUGUAUGAAGAAGGCCUUCGGGUUGUAAAGUACUUUCAGCGGGGAGGAA